GACGGACGCUGGCGGCGUGCUUAACACAUGCAAGUCGAACGGAAAGGCCCCCUUGUGGGGUACUCGAGUGGCGAACGGGUGAGUAACACGUGAGUAACCUACCCUUGACUUUGGGAUAACUUCAGGAAACUGGGGCUAAUACCGGAUAGGAGCUCCUGCUGCAUGGUGGGGGUUGGAAAGUUUCGGCGGUUGGGGAUGGGCUCGCGGCUUAUCAGCUUGUUGGUGGGGUAGUGGCUCACCAAGGCUUUGACGGGUAGCCGGCCUGAGAGGGUGACCGGCCACAUUGGGACUGAGAUACGGCCCAGACUCCUACGGGAGGCAGCAGUGGGGAAUAUUGCACAAUGGGCGGAAGCCUGAUGCAGCAACGCCGCGUGCGGGAUGACGGCCUUCGGGUUGUAAACCGCUUUCGCCUGUGACGAAGCGUGAGUGACGGUAAUGGGUAAAGAAGCACCGGCUAACUACGUG
This 465-nucleotide ribosomal RNA is filed under the name uncultured bacterium. RNAcentral's name for it is "partial 16S ribosomal RNA". It matches the Rfam family "Bacterial small subunit ribosomal RNA", at positions 28 to 507 of the family's 1533-position model. The record is from RNAcentral.